Molecule: ribosomal RNA, 1416 nt
Filed under: Nostoc edaphicum ACSSI 156
Lineage: Bacteria; Bacillati; Cyanobacteriota; Cyanophyceae; Nostocales; Nostocaceae
Description: bacterial SSU rRNA
Rfam family: Bacterial small subunit ribosomal RNA
Source: RNAcentral
GAUGAACGCUGGCGGUAUGCUUAACACAUGCAAGUCGAACGGUGCUUUAGGGCACAGUGGCGGACGGGUGAGUAACGCGUGAGAAUCUGGCUUCAGGUCUGGGACAACCACUGGAAACGGUGGCUAAUACCGGAUGUGCCGAAAGGUGAAAGGUUAACUGCCUGAAGAUGAGCUCGCGUCUGAUUAGCUAGUUGGAAGUGUAAUGGACUCCCAAGGCGACGAUCAGUAGCUGGUCUGAGAGGACGAUCAGCCACACUGGGACUGAGACACGGCCCAGACUCCUACGGGAGGCAGCAGUGGGGAAUUUUCCGCAAUGGGCGAAAGCCUGACGGAGCAAUACCGCGUGAGGGAGGAAGGCUCUUGGGUCGUAAACCUCUUUUCUCAGGGAAGAACACAAUGACGGUACCUGAGGAAUAAGCAUCGGCUAACUCCGUGCCAGCAGCCGCGGUAAUACGGAGGAUGCAAGCGUUAUCCGGAAUGAUUGGGCGUAAAGCGUCCGCAGGUGGCUGUGUAAGUCUGCUGUUAAAGAGUCUAGCUCAACUAGAUAAGAGCAGUGGAAACUACACGGCUAGAGUACGUUCGGGGCAGAGGGAAUUCCUGGUGUAGCGGUGAAAUGCGUAGAGAUCAGGAAGAACACCAGUGGCGAAGGCGCUCUGCUAGGCCGUAACUGACACUGAGGGACGAAAGCUAGGGGAGCGAAUGGGAUUAGAUACCCCAGUAGUCCUAGCCGUAAACGAUGGAUACUAGGCGUGGCUUGUAUCGACCCGAGCCGUGCCGUAGCUAACGCGUUAAGUAUCCCGCCUGGGGAGUACGCCGGCAACGGUGAAACUCAAAGGAAUUGACGGGGGCCCGCACAAGCGGUGGAGUAUGUGGUUUAAUUCGAUGCAACGCGAAGAACCUUACCAAGGCUUGACAUGUCGCGAAUCUCGGUGAAAGCUGAGAGUGCCUUCGGGAGCGCGAACACAGGUGGUGCAUGGCUGUCGUCAGCUCGUGUCGUGAGAUGUUGGGUUAAGUCCCGCAACGAGCGCAACCCUCGUUUUUAGUUGCCAGCAUUAAGUUGGGCACUCUAGAGAGACUGCCGGUGACAAACCGGAGGAAGGUGGGGAUGACGUCAAGUCAGCAUGCCCCUUACGCCUUGGGCUACACACGUACUACAAUGCUCCGGACAGAGGGCAGCAAGCAUGCGAAUGCAAGCAAAUCCCGUAAACCGGAGCUCAGUUCAGAUCGCAGGCUGCAACUCGCCUGCGUGAAGGAGGAAUCGCUAGUAAUUGCAGGUCAGCAUACUGCAGUGAAUUCGUUCCCGGGCCUUGUACACACCGCCCGUCACACCAUGGAAGCUGGUAGUGCCCGAAGUCAUUACUCCAACCUUUCGGGGGGGAGGAUGCCUAAGGCAGGACUGGUGACUGGGGUGAAGUC